Molecule: ribosomal RNA, 450 nt
Filed under: uncultured bacterium
Lineage: Bacteria
Description: partial 16S ribosomal RNA
Rfam family: Bacterial small subunit ribosomal RNA
Source: RNAcentral
GUAGGGAAUAUUGGGCAAUGGUCGGAAGACUGACCCAGCCAUGCCGCGUGCAGGAUGAAGGCCUUCGGGUUGUAAACUGCUUUUGUACGGAACGAAAAGACUCCUUCUAAUAAAGGGGGUCCAUGACGGUACCGUAAGAAUAAGCACCGGCUAACUACGUGCCAGCAGCCGCGGUAAUACGUAGGGUGCAAGCGUUAAUCGGAAUUACUGGGCGUAAAGCGUGCGCAGGCGGUUAUAUAAGACAGAUGUGAAAUCCCCGGGCUCAACCUGGGAACUGCAUUUGUGACUGUAUAGCUAGAGUACGGUAGAGGGGGAUGGAAUUCCGCGUGUAGCAGUGAAAUGCGUAGAUAUGCGGAGGAACACCGAUGGCGAAGGCAAUCCCCUGGACCUGUACUGACGCUCAUGCACGAAAGCGUGGGGAGCAAACAGGAUUAGAAACCCUGGUAGUCC